This 406-nucleotide ribosomal RNA is filed under the name uncultured bacterium. Its description in RNAcentral is "partial 16S ribosomal RNA". It matches the Rfam family "Bacterial small subunit ribosomal RNA", at positions 30 to 526 of the family's 1533-position model. The record is from RNAcentral.
AUUGAACGCUGGCGGCAGGCCUAACACAUGCAAGUCGAACGAGUGGCGGACGGGUGAGUAAUGUCUGGGAAACUGCCUGAUGGAGGGGGAUAACUACUGGAAAAGGUCGCUAAUACCGCAUACCAUCGGAUGUGCCCAGAUGGGAUUAGCUAGUAGGUGGGGGAACGGCUCACCUAGGACACGAUCCCUAGCUGGUCUGAGAGGAUGACCAGCCACACGGGAACUGAGACACUGUCCAGACUCCUAUGGGAGGCAGCAGCGGGGAAUAUUGCACAAUGGGCGCAAGCCUGAUGCAGCCAUGCCGCGGGUAUGAAGAAGGCCUUCGGGUUGUAAAGUACUUUCAGCGGGGAGGCGUUACCCGCAGAAGAAGCACCGGCUAACUCCGUGCCAGCAGCCGCGGUAAUUC